This 557-nucleotide ribosomal RNA is filed under the name Bifidobacterium breve. RNAcentral's name for it is "bacterial SSU rRNA". It matches the Rfam family "Bacterial small subunit ribosomal RNA", at positions 146 to 711 of the family's 1533-position model. The record is from RNAcentral. Lineage: Bacteria; Bacillati; Actinomycetota; Actinomycetes; Bifidobacteriales; Bifidobacteriaceae.
UCUCCUGGAAACGGGUGGUAAUGCCGGAUGCUCCAUCACACUGCAUGGUGUGUUGGGAAAGCCUUUGCGGCAUGGGAUGGGGUCGCGUCCUAUCAGCUUGAUGGCGGGGUAACGGCCCACCAUGGCUUCGACGGGUAGCCGGCCUGAGAGGGCGACCGGCCACAUUGGGACUGAGAUACGGCCCAGACUCCUACGGGAGGCAGCAGUGGGGAAUAUUGCACAAUGGGCGCAAGCCUGAUGCAGCGACGCCGCGUGAGGGAUGGAGGCCUUCGGGUUGUAAACCUCUUUUGUUAGGGAGCAAGGCAUUUUGUGUUGAGUGUACCUUUCGAAUAAGCACCGGCUAACUACGUGCCAGCAGCCGCGGUAAUACGUAGGGUGCAAGCGUUAUCCGGAAUUAUUGGGCGUAAAGGGCUCGUAGGCGGUUCGUCGCGUCCGGUGUGAAAGUCCAUCGCUUAACGGUGGAUCCGCGCCGGGUACGGGCGGGCUUGAGUGCGGUAGGGGAGACUGGAAUUCCCGGUGUAACGGUGGAAUGUGUAGAUAUCGGAAAAAAAACACCA